This is a long non-coding RNA of Passer domesticus (house sparrow), 515 nucleotides long. RefSeq lists it as uncharacterized. Lineage: Eukaryota; Metazoa; Chordata; Aves; Passeriformes; Passeridae. The transcript has 4 exons. The record is from RefSeq and is a predicted model, not a curated record.
ACCUGUGCAGUGAAUGCAUUUGCUGUGGUACCAAAAUUAGGGUCACUCGUUUGAUAAGAAGGUCUGUUAAGGACUGUGUGUCUCCCUGAUGACAGUUCAGUUCUGUGGGAAGCUAGAAAAGCACAAAACUGCUGCUAAGAGUAGCUCUGACAGGAAUAGAUGGUGAAGUGAAAUUGAAGAAGCAAUAAUAAGUGAGACUUUGAGGAACCCUGCAAACUCACUCCUGCUUUAAAAAGGAAAACUGCAGUAGAUUGUUGCAUAACAUGCUUUUAAGAGAAAAUGUCAUCCAGUGGAACCUAAAGCUAGAUGCUGUUCUGAAGUUUUAGAAUGCAGCACAAGGGGCACUCAAUUCACCACUGAAAAUCAGAGGCCCCCAAGCCACAAAGCACCUUUCAGGGUCCAUUUUUUAAAUGUACAACAGACUGGGGACAUCAUGAAAGUUCUGGAGUCGGGUCUUGCAGAAUUAAUCCAAUUACCUGAAAAACAGCUGGGAGCAGAUGAGAAUGUGACUUCUA